CCAGGCAGUGAUGAUCAUUGGGGCUUCCAUGAACAGCACUACAGUCGGCUAAUUGCCAAGGCCUUUGUUCAUACCAGUUUGCAAAAACUAGACGCAAAACAUCAUUGUGAUGUCACGUGAUUGAUGGGUGGUCACACCCCAGGAUUAGGGACUAUGACAAGUUUGACACUUGGCUUAGCAAUGUUUUCCAUCUGAGAGGGGCAAAUGGCUUUUCUUGCACCUUUCCCAAUAGCAGACAUCAGAAUAUCUAUCUACGGAGCUAUUUUCUAACUGUAAGCUGCAGAACCUAUUGUUUCCCUUCUCGUUAUAGGCACAGACUGUGAUCCAUCCAUCUCAGCCUUAAUACAGGGCCAUAACUGCACUCCUAUAAUUAUGCUAAAUAUUACUGUAGAUGGGACCAGUCUGCUGCUUCAAGCUUUUUGUUGCAUUUCCCAGACCCAGCUUUGCUCGAUCUCCUUUUACCUAUCAUUCUUGGUGCCGUAAGAAACAACAAAUAUCAGUAGUUUCCCAGAAGGUUUUAUUGAGCUAUUUAAUUUCUAAUACAGCUAUUAUGGUGCAGCACAGUAUGCUGUGUGUAAUGCCAAGAAAAAAAUUACAUUCGGACCAAAGGUUGUUUUAAAAGUUUUCACCUGAACUAAACUCUAAGGAAAAUGGUCCAGCACAUAAGUGCACUGUUGCUGAGAAAGCAAUCUUAAAUCUUUUCCAGAUUUUCCAACAUUAUCAUUGUGCUUAACGUGAAGCUACAAAAAAGAUUUGCCUUAAGUGCAUUAUUUUGUUAGUGUUUAUAUGUAGAUUGGCAACGUGUAGCUCCAGGUUUCAGGACUCUUGGCGGGCAACCUCCUAUAUGAACGGGGCCCUCCUGAAGUUCACAAUAAGGACCAGCUGCUUCUUGACAUACACAAUUUUGUAUUUCCUAUAAUGUCCUAGAUGUUGCAUGUGCCCAGGGCAUUGUGGGGAAAACAAAAUGGCAGCAGCCAUUUGGCCAUCAUAUGUUUAUGGCAGGCACAGUUUUGCUUUCCCAUAAUGCUCCAAACCAACACAACAUCAAGGACAUUGUGGGGGAAACAAAAUGUCCACCACCAGCAAAUUUGCAGCCACCAGAUCUGUGUUCUCUGGUAGUGGGGGGGCUAGACCGGGUAGGCAGGCAUUAGUACAGUGGGACCUGCUUUGAUGCAAGCUGCCUGACCUGACAAUGUAUAUGUUGCUGGGCUUGAGUCAAGAUGUGGUUGAGUCUACAAGCAAGUCGAUAGUCAAAAGUCCCUUUUUAUAUUAAGGGUCCCACUGAAAUCACUAUAAAAGGUUAGUGAUAACAGUGUGAAGGUUUUGUUAAAAUUAUGCCAGUUUCCAUCCUGAUCCUCACAAGUUUAUAUUCAAAUAGAUUUAAUUCCAAUGAAGUAAUUUCCUUUGAAACAUACCAAAAUGUUCACUUGGUAAUGUUCAGAGAAAUUAAAAAUUAAGGUAUUUUCCAUUACAAACAAAUGGUUGGAUUUUUUUACCAAACAUUUCUCAUUAAGAAUGCUCUGGCAUUGUUCACCAAGAGUUAAUUUUAAGUUCAGCUAAAGAAUUAUCCAUGGUCAUUGCUACAUUAGUUCCUUGUUUUAUUCAGACAUUAUUUGGGAAUUCUAAGCUGUAUUCCCCCCCCCCUCGAUGGUUACCUCUUCAUUAUGAGCAUCAGAGAGUCACAGAGAGUUUGGGGGGGGGGACUCUAGAUGGAGUUUAUAAUUGGUUUAUUUCCUUCUAUUCCUUCUGUUUCCAUACCAAACGGUGUCUGGAGAAUUGUAUUCCUGUAGCAAGAGCUUUUAGCCAAGCUAAGAAGUGUGUUGCUGGUGCGUUUUACAUCAUAGGGAAGAAAGAAAGAAAAAGACUGAUCAAUACUGGCUGUGGUUUUUAUCAUUAUUGCUAUAAUAAUUAUUUCAGAUUGAAAUGAUGCUGCUAAAUGUGGGAGGGGGGAGGGAGAGAGAGAGAGAGAGAGAGAGAGAGAGAGAGAGAGAAGGGUCAGGGAGAAAAAGAGAAGGAGGAGAGAGAGAAUAUGCUGUGACCCACCAUCCAGAGAGAGAACCCCAUGAAAAGACAGCUGCUAAUGGACAUUUACUGGCUGUCGCCGUGCCAUCAGUUUCCACCAAGAGUGCAUUGUCCUCAAAUAUAAUUGAAAUGAAAUGGGCACCGUGCUGCUGUAAACCUAAAUAGCUUCAAAAUAGUAGGCUAGAAUCACCCAACUUGCUGCGGACACUUUAAUGGAAGCGUAAAUACCGUAAUCAUAUGCUUUUUGCAUUCGCUUUGCCAUUAAAAGGGAAAAAAUGAAAAGGGAAACCUAUGCUAAACUGGUUCCUGUUCUGCUAAAAGUGGGAUGAGGUUAUGUCAUAGAAAUAUAUAGACUGAAGAAUUUUUGGCCAGGACAGAAUAAGCAGGGAAAAAAUUCAUCUCGUCCUUUGUUUAGUCUAUUGGAAAAAAAAACAUGUAUGCUGAGUUUUAAAAAUUGUCACACAUGAUCCUGAUACACUGCUGUCAUAGGAAAGCAAUAGACCAUUUUAUUUUGCUGUUGUUUAUCUCGUAAUAUUUACCUCAGCUUAACUUCUGAGAGGCAGUGGAUUAUUCAGUAAUACAAUUUAGAAAUGCUCUGAAAAAGAAUAAAAAGACUUGCUCUCGGAGGCCUCUAUAAAAAAACCACCUUCUGAGUCAUAUUUUACUAGAGCUGUAAAAUAUUACAUAGCAAUAUCAAGGUAAAUAUUUCUUUAAAAUGGAAAAGCAAGAUACUAGAAUAUUAUAUUAAACUUCAUUAUUUGUAAUGUCAGUCAUGUGAAUGAUCUUUAAAGGCUGAGGUGCCACUGCAUAUAAAUCUAAGCUUUCUGCCAAACCUAUAAUAGAUGGAGAGAUACGAGUUAUUCCUCAGGAUAACACUUUCUGUAAGUGCUGGAAAUUUAUUUCUUUUUUCUCUUUAAUGGAGAGGUUUAGACUUGCUAUGAAGUCGUACCUUAGAACUGCUAUGGCAAAAGUGAAAGGUCACAAUUUUAUUACUAUUCCCAGCCGCAAUGCAUUCUGGAGAAAGCCUGUGGAUUUAUUAACUCUCCCCCACCUUUUGCUGUGGUUACUUAUAAGUCCCCAAAUGGGCAAGCUUGCUUAUGUUGAGUUGCACCUCGUUCUGCGAAUUAGUCCCAUUGAGGACAGUUUUAAUGAGUCUGCUAGAAAGGGAAUGCUUUCACUCAACAUAGUUAUGAAUAACUGUGUGAGGUUGCUGUUUGUUAUGUGCGCCUCAGGAUCUCGAAAGUCAGUUCAACUGCUGAUGGCCUCAAGGACAGCCAGACCUGCUAAACUUUUUUGAGAAAGGGGCCUGUUCCCUUUUGUGAAACAAAAGAAGAGGCCCCUGAGGCAACUCAACUUCUCACCUCCUUAAAACAGCAUCAGCAUUGCACUCAAACAUUGCUCUCUAGUGUCCAUGAGUAGGGUUAUGAAAGCCCUGCUUGCGAAUGAGUGUGCCUACUCAAAGGAACCUUGGGAUUUGAUACCUUUCAUUUCACAAAUCGAACCCUGCCAGAUACCUAAUGUGUUCCCUUUCAACUGACCUCAAAAAUUUCAGUAUAAUAGGCUGAGAUCCAAAUGAUCAUGAACCUAAGCGAUGGUUAAACUUGUUAUCUUCAAACCUCUCUCACACACAAAACACCCACCCACACCAUGGCAAACUACGUUUGAAUCCGAUAGGUGUUUAAGGCAGCUUAUGAUCUGCCAUUGGGGUUUGCUGUUGAAAGUGUGGGUGUGAGAAAGCACUUUCAAGGCAAAAACAUGGAUGUAGAAACUUUGUGUGGCUAGAGAACAUAGGAGCCAACUCCUAGUGGCUGUGGGGGCUUUGGCCAACCACAAUAAAAUAUUUGAGGGGGCCGUGCCCCCACAAAUUUGAUGAGCAUUCCCAUUCAAAUGGUUUGUGUGCACUGCAUCAUGUAAUCAAUUAUGUGGGGUGGGGCUUACCUGGGCCCCCACAAUAUUUUAUUCAGGUUGGCAUCCCUGCUAGAGAACAAAAACUUGAUAGACUUUCAUGUCAGAUUGGUAGCCAGCAUACAAAGGAAGGCCCUGCAGGACAAACUGUACCUGCUAUAUUCUGUAAUAUAUGUUGUCACAUCAGCAGAGUUGCCAAAUCCUGGAAGUAAAAAAAAUCUGGUAUGUGGAUUUGACCUGUGAGCAUGUUAUAGUAGCAAGCACAAUGGCAAAGGCUAGAGAUUUGAUAGCCCUGAAAAAUGGAAGAAUUCAGGGGAAAGGCCAUUUUGUCUUGUACCGAGUAUUCCCAUCCAUUUUUUUCCAGGUGGCAGGCAUGUGUCAACUAGACUUGCACAUUUAUGCACUUAGGAGAUGUCAUUAAGUUAUCAGGUGAUGUGGACUAGGUAACAGUCCUGAAAUUAGCUUGCCAUUAUGAGGCUGAAUCCCCAAACCUGAUUCUAGGAACCAUAGCAUGAGAUCUGACAAUCCAAAGGAUUUGACAGAUGAACACAUUCAAACAGCCUGGCCUCUGAUAUGAAGCUGGACAAGUUAGUUGGUCAUACUUUAAAAAUUCCAGGUAAUUUCCUUCAACGUACCUGUAUUCUUGUUUGGAUAACAUGUAUCUGAUGAGUAUUUUUUACUGGUUUUUCUUCAGCUAUUGGUGGGUUCCCAGUUGUUACCACAAACCCUUCUGUCUGGAUUCAAUGGGAAUAUGAAAAAUAACCUUUUCUUGUCACCAUAAGCAAGCAUAUCCUGCUGAGGAGCAGGGAAUAUUGAUAUUAUAGACAAAGGUGGUCAUGAGCAUCACCAACACCCCAAAAAAUCCUGACAAUGACUGACUUCUGAAUAUUGCACUUGAUUUAUAGACUUUGAUAUGCAGUUUUCUAUUUUACUGCUGCUUGUAACAUGAACCAACAGGCCCUUCAUCUGUUCCCCAAACAGACCAAUAAGAAUUGUUUGCUCUUCCACAGACUCUGAGUAAAGGAAGCAAUUGGUCCCACUAACUUUGGUAUUUAGUGGUCUUAGGUUACUACUCUCCCUCCUGCCAAGACGGAUGCAAUAAAAAUCCGGUUUUAAUAUAAAUUCAUGAGGAUUUAUGCAGAGCCCCUAUUGUGAAGUAUAUUUGCUGUGACUCUGUUCAGUGUUUGGGUUAUGACUUUGAAGGUAUAGCGGGGAGGAUUCAUAAUGAGUGUUAGACAGAUAUUCUUGAGUCUUUCUAGCAAGACUAAGCUGAUAUGGCUGCAAAACUAGUUAACUUUGCAGUUACAAUGGACAAAUAAUUGUGGCUUUCUUGCCCCAUUUUUUUUUCCUGCCUUUAUCGCCUUAAUGAGGUUUGUUUUAUAAUCAAAGGGCUGAAACUGUUUGUUUAUUAUUCUUUUUUUUAAAGCCUGGCAUGGUUCUUUAAGACAUUCUAUACAUGGGAGAAUGUAUGGAAAGAUAAGAAAGGAAUGGGCUUCCCCUAGCAGGUUGCAAAACAGGAAGAAAAUGAGAGGCCCACCCAAAAGUUCACCUUAUAGAUAAAAUAAUUGAAGGUCACUUAACAAUCAUUCUUUGUUAUGAGCUAGCAAUAGCUCAAUCCAGUUCUGCAAAUGUUUUACUUAAGCACAACAGCUGUCAGUAGCAAGCCAAGAGAGCUUUUUUAAAGUACAAUUUACUUUAGGAGUGAGUCAGAACUUGUCACCCUUAAUCAGUGUAAUGCUAGAAUUUAUAUGCAGAAAAGGAAUGGUAAGGCAUGUUACUGCUAGAAGAUG
Molecule: non-coding RNA, 5717 nt
Organism: Podarcis lilfordi (Lilford's wall lizard)
Lineage: Eukaryota; Metazoa; Chordata; Lepidosauria; Squamata; Lacertidae
Source: the annotation of a GenBank genome assembly